Long non-coding RNA from Dendronephthya gigantea, 1165 nucleotides. RefSeq lists it as uncharacterized. The transcript has 3 exons. The record is from RefSeq and is a predicted model, not a curated record. Lineage: Eukaryota; Metazoa; Cnidaria; Anthozoa; Malacalcyonacea; Nephtheidae.
UUCUCUCACUUCUCUGAGCAAGAAAAAAAAAUCCUGAAAAUUCAACCACAUUCACCACAAAGAAAAACCACGCCUCGUGUUUUAAUAAGUCACUGUUGGUAUCUUUUUCUUGAUUUACUCAACUAUAUGGAUCGCUUCUGACACUUCACCCUCGCAAAAUUUCGUAGAUGCUUUAAUAUUUGUGCAUGGUGAGACUGAAGUGAAGACUUCUAAAAAUCGGACAAUUCAUUGAUAAUUGUCAUGUAAUUUCCUGGUAUAACAUCCCAACCUAUACAUUGUAGUUAAAAUAUGAUAACAAUAUCAACCUCAAAUUCAACUAAUAUUUUGUAUGCAAUCAAGAAAAAUUUGGAAAUGCUGGUGGUUAAUUUUACUGCAAUUAUUACACAAGAUAUGAUUACACUCCUUUAUCAUUACCCAAUCCUGUCAGAAUUGCUAUCACAUGUGAAUGCAAUAUAAUUUUUGUACACAAUCAUUAUUUAAUUACUGUUUUCAGCAUAAAUUAUGCCUUAAGAGGCCUUCUCCAGACAAUAUUUAUUGCAAGCUAUAUGAUAUUUGCUCCAAUAUUUGGCUAUAUUUGUGAAAGAUACAGUUGCAAGCUCAUUAUGAUCUAUUGCCUCGUUAUCUGGUCCUUAACAACAUUUCUUAGCACACUACUUAAUAAACACCUAUGUAAGCUUUUACUGAUUUCAUACAGUGAGUUAGAAGUCAGAUAUGUUAAAAAAGAAGGAAAAUGGUAGGUUAAUGAAUAGUUUGGUAUGUUCUUGGUUCAAAUGUAUCUUCCGCAUUUCGUGGUGGCAAUAAUUUUAUAAUAAAGAAAACACAGGGUAUGUAAACAUGUGAAAUAAACAUGUUAUUACUUGAUGUGUUUCAGGUAACUCCAAUCUUGGGUGUGCUUCUUAUCAUCUUGGGCUUUAUAUCUGUUGUUUGAACCUGUCUAGGGGCAAAUUGAAAAGAGUCAGGGUGAUAUUGUUGCAGACAAGGAUGUUAUCAUUCGUCGUUCAUGGUUGAAUGAUGCGAAACAUAUGUUACGCUGAUACAGACAGAGCCACAGCAUCGGCAGUCCUUAUAUUGUGGGUUUGGUAACCGCAGCUUCAAAGUUUCUGACUUUACAGGAGUCAGUAAGAGAUGCUGCCGAUCUCUAUUUAUCAUUUAAGCAUAUUCCUCU